RNAcentral lists this ribosomal RNA (758 nucleotides) under uncultured Tulasnella. Its description in RNAcentral is "LSU rRNA". The stretch from base 231 to 758 matches the Rfam family "Eukaryotic large subunit ribosomal RNA", at positions 1 to 536 of the family's 3401-position model. The record is from RNAcentral. Lineage: Eukaryota; Fungi; Basidiomycota; Agaricomycetes; Cantharellales; Tulasnellaceae.
GCUGCGGUAUGCCCCUUUGAGCGUCAUUGUAUCCCUUCGGGAGUCCUUUUACAAGGACCCGAGYUCGGAGUCCUCGGUCCUCUCUGGAUCGUGUUCUCUCAGAUGCCUCGCGCCGAUCGCCUGAUGGGUCCUCUAAUGCCUAAGCGUGGAGUUCCUUCAGUCCGAGACGCGCUYGACCGGGUCUUGAGCCUGCGUCAUCAAGUCUGCCUAACCAGCGGUACUACAACGCAUGACCUCAUUGGGGUAGGACAACCCGCUAGACUUAAGCAUAUUAAUCAGCGGAGGAAAAGAAACUAACCAGGAUUCCCUCAGUAACUGCGAGUGAAGCGGGAUCGGCUCAAUGUGUGAAUCUGGCUUGGGGUACGUCCCGGGUCCGAGUUGUGCACUACGGAUGCUUCGUCUGCGUUUGUAAAGGCGGUGGAAGUCCGUUGAAACACGGCACCUCAGAGGGUCACAGUCCUGUACCACCUGCCUGCACUCGCGCCAAUGACAAGUGCUCCUCGAGUCGCGUAGUUUUGUAAUGCUGCGCCAAGUGGGAGGUAGAGACCUUCUAAGGCUAAAUAUGAUGACGUGACCGAUAGCACACAAGUACCGCGAGGGAAAGGUGAAAAGCAACCAUGAAAAAUGGGUUGAAACAGUAGUGAAAGCGCUACCGGGAUAAGGGCUAUCGGGUGCUGGGGCUCUUUGGGUGUGCUUUAGUGCUACCCUCGGAGACGGCCCGCGAGGGUUGAYGUUGGGGCGAUAGACGCGCYGCAGGA